This 1683-nucleotide ribosomal RNA is filed under the name Stenotrophomonas hibiscicola. RNAcentral's name for it is "bacterial SSU rRNA". It matches the Rfam family "Bacterial small subunit ribosomal RNA". The record is from RNAcentral. Lineage: Bacteria; Pseudomonadati; Pseudomonadota; Gammaproteobacteria; Lysobacterales; Lysobacteraceae.
AGGGCCAACCUUUUUAGAGUUUUUGUUCAGCUCAGAGUGAACGCUGGCGGUAGGCCUAACAACAUGCAAGUCGAACGGCAGCACAGGAGAGCUUGCUCUCUGGGUGGCGAGUGGCGGACGGGAUGAGGAAUACAUCGGAAUCUACUUUUUCGUGGGGGAUAACGUAGGGAAACUUACGCUAAUAACCGCAUACGACCUACGGGUGAAAGCAGGGGAUCUUCGGACCUUGCGCGAUUGAAUGAGCACGAUGUCGGAUUAGCUAGUUGGCGGGGUAAAGGCCCACCAAGGCGACGAUCCGUAGCUGGAUCUGAGAGGAUGAUCAGCCACACUGGAACUGAGACACGGUCCAGACUCCUACGGGAGGCAAGCAGUGGGGAAUAUUGGACAAUGGGCGCAAGCCUGAUCCAGCCAUACCGCGUGGGUGAAGAAAGGCCUUCGGGUUGUAAAGCCCUUUUGUUGGGAAAGAAAUCCAGCUGGUUAAUACCCGGAUUGGGAUGACGGUACCCAAAGAAUAAGCACCGGCUAACUUCGUGCCAGCAGCCGCGGUAAAUACGAAGGGUGCAAGCGUUACUCGGAAUUACUGGGCGUAAAGCGUGCGUAGGUGGUCGUUACCUGGGAACUGCAGUGGAUACUGGGCGACUAUAAGUCCGUUGUGAAAGCCCUGGGCUCAACCUGGGAACUGCAGUGGAUACUGGGCGACUAAGAAUGUGGUAGAGGGUAGCGGAAUUCCUGGUGUAGCAGUGAAAUGCGUAGAGAUCAGGAGGAAUGUGGUAGAGGGUAGCGGAAUUCCUGGUGUAGCAGUGAAAUGCGUAGAGAUCAGGAGAGAACAUCCAUGGCGAAGGCAGCUACCUGGACCAACAUUGACACUGAGGCACGAAAGCGUGGAACAUCCAUGGCGAAGGCAGCUACCUGGACCAACAUGACACUGAGGCACGAAAGAAGGAGGGAGCAAACAGGAUUAGAUACCCUGGUAGUCCACGCCCUAAACGAUGCGAACUGGAUGUAUGGGUGCAAUUUGGCACGCAGUAUCGAAGCUAACGCGUUAAGUUCGCCGCCUGGGGAGUAACGGUCGCAAGACUGAAACUCAAAGGAAUUGACGGGGGCCCGCACAAGCGGUGGAGUAUGUAGGUUUAAUUCGAUGCAACGCGAAGAACCUUACCUGGCCUUGACAUGUCGAGAACUUUCCAAGAGAUGGAUUGGUGCCUUCGGGAACUCGAACACAGGUGCUGCAUGGCUGUCGUCAGCUCGAUGUCGUGAGAUGUUGGGUUAAGUCCCGCAACGAGCGCAACCCUUGUCCUUAGUUGCCAGCAACGUAAUGGUGGGAACUCUAAGGAGACCGCCGGUGACAAACCGGAGGAAGGUGGGGAUGAACGUCAAGUCAUCAUGGCCCUUACGGCCAGGGCUACACACGUACUACAAUGGUAGGGACAGAAGGGCUGCAAGCCGGCGACGGUAAGCCAAUCCCAGAAACCCUAUCUCAGUCCGGAUUGGAAGUCUGCAACUCGACUCCAUGAAGUCGGAAUCGCUAGUAAUCGCAGAUCAGCAUUGCUGCGAGUGAAUACGUUCCCGGGCCUUGUACACACCGCCCGUCACACCAUGGGAGUUUGUUGCACCAAGAAGCAGGUAGCUUAACCUUCGGGAGGGCGCUUGCCACGGUGUGGCCGAUGACUGGGGUAGAAGUCU